This 227-nucleotide unclassified non-coding RNA is filed under the name plant metagenome. Its description in RNAcentral is "partial contains small subunit ribosomal RNA, internal transcribed spacer 1, and 5.8S ribosomal RNA". The record is from RNAcentral.
UUUCCGUAGGUGAACCUGCGGAAGGAUCAUUAAAGAAUUUGCCCCGUCCUCUCGAGGAUGGGUCCUCUUCUAAACCGUGUAUACAUACCUUUGUUGCUUUGGCGGGCCGCCGUCUCGGCGCUGGCUUCGGCUGACUGUGCCCGCCAGAGAACCCCAACUCUUCUGUUUAGUAUUGUCUGAGUACUAUAUAAUAGUUAAAACUUUCAACAACGGAUCUCUUGGUUCUG